RNAcentral lists this transfer RNA (64 nucleotides) under Diplosoma listerianum. RNAcentral's name for it is "transfer RNA-Tyr". Lineage: Eukaryota; Metazoa; Chordata; Ascidiacea; Aplousobranchia; Didemnidae. The record is from RNAcentral.
AUAUUAGAGUCUGUUUUAAAGUAAGUUUUUGUAAAAAGCUGCAUGAUAUUUUUAUCCUAAUUAU